UACGGGGGGGGCAAGCGUUGUUCGGAAUUACUGGGCGUAAAGGGCUCGUAGGCGGCCAACUAAGUCGGAUGUGAAAUCCCCAGGCUCAACCUGGGAACUGCAUCCGAUACUGGAUGGCUUGAAUUCGGGAGAGGGAUGCAGAAUUCCAGGUGUAGCGGUGAAAUGCGUAGAUAUCUGGAGGAAUACUGGUGGCGAAGGCGGCAUCCUGGACCGACAUUGACGCUGAUGAGCGAAAGCCAGGGGAGCAAACGGG
RNAcentral lists this ribosomal RNA (253 nucleotides) under uncultured bacterium. RNAcentral's name for it is "partial 16S ribosomal RNA". It matches the Rfam family "Bacterial small subunit ribosomal RNA", at positions 524 to 776 of the family's 1533-position model. The record is from RNAcentral.